CAUUUGGCCAAUUUCUUCCAAAAAUGAAUACCCUAAUGGGAGAUGUGCACAACAGGCAAAAUGAAUGCCUUACUCGGUUGUCAGUGGCCACAUUUUGUUCGCAAUCAAAUGACGAACUUUUAAAUUCUCUUUGAAGUCUUAGCACGAUUAUCCUCUACAAUCGUUAAUUCUCUUUUUUGUAUUUAUUGCUGUUCUGUGUGUAAAGUAGCAGUUGUUUAAAGUUUUAUAAUUACCAUAACAUCAACGUUAAUUUCCGUUUCCCGUCUAUGGAAUUUGGCAUUUGUUAGCAUUAGGCUAGCAGACAUUGGUUCGUUGAAAUUAUGGUUUGGUUGAACAUUUUGGUGUUGAAAUGGACAAUGUUUCAUUCUCUUGUUGUAUGUGUUGCUGCUCUGUGUGUGCAAAGUAGGAGUUGUUUGAAGGUUUCAAAUUGUCAUGACAUCUAUGCUAAGUUUCCGUUAUACGCCGUUUCGCAUUAUAUUUUAGCAACAAGCUAGCAGAAUCCAUUUGAUGAUGUCUUCUUUGAUACCCAAUAGUGAACAAUUUCUCACUUUUGUUUUUUAUUUCAUCUUAGCGACUGUUUUGUAUCUCUCUAGUUGCAGCUGUCCAUGUAUGAUCAUCUUUGAUAAGCCUCACGAGAUGCCGCUGUUUUGUUGAGCAA
This is a long non-coding RNA of Hippocampus comes (tiger tail seahorse), 658 nucleotides long. RefSeq lists it as uncharacterized. The transcript has 2 exons. Lineage: Eukaryota; Metazoa; Chordata; Actinopteri; Syngnathiformes; Syngnathidae. The record is from RefSeq and is a predicted model, not a curated record.